This is a long non-coding RNA of Callithrix jacchus (white-tufted-ear marmoset), 3091 nucleotides long. The record is from Ensembl. NCBI's taxonomy places the organism in Eukaryota, Metazoa, Chordata, Mammalia, Primates, Cebidae.
AUGAUCAACAUCUUCAAAAACUCAUUUUCUUGGGAAUUCCAUCAAGAAGGUCUGCUCUGCCUAUCACCACAGACUCUAGUCUUCAGCUGGGGCAGAACCCCCUGUGCCUUACUAUUUGCCACUUGUCAAGUCCACAAUGAUAUUGGCAAGUCAGCACCAGGUCUGAACUCUACUCUCUUUGUGGAAGAGAGACCACUUAAAGGAAAUACUCAAGCAGAUCAUUAUGCUCCACAAGCUAAACCCUCAAAGGAUAAAUCUCCAGUAAACUGUGAAAAGGAAGAGUGGAAAAAUUCUGAUUCUACUCUUCAUUGAUAUAAUCUCUGGAAUGCUCAAGGUGGUUGCUUAUGGCACCAGAUCAUUUCAAGUGGAUGUUAACAAAAUUUCUUCAUGAGACUACUCAUCAUGGAAUAGAAAAAUGGAUUAGUAUUUUUAAUCACCAUUAGUAAGAAAACUUUAAAAACAAGCUGAGGUUAUUUUCAGGUUAUGUGUCACCUGUCAGCCACAUAAUCCUGGAAGAAAUUGUAAAGAGUAAUCAUGGUCAGGACCCAAUGUCUCACUUUGAAUAUCUUCAGGUGAAUUUUAUCCAGCUUACAACCUCUGUGGAAUUUAAAUUUGCUUUAGUUAUUGUACAUCUAUUUUCAGGAGGGCCUAUAGCAUAUCCUUGCUGAAAAGCUAUAACCCUCACAGACAUCAAAAAAGCUGCUUGACUUUGUGUUUUCAACCUGGGAUGUCCCAAAUUUUAUAUCGAGCAAUUGGACACUCCCUUAAGAAAAGCCAUUAUAAAAGAACUCAGUAAAACACCAAAUCAAAAUUACAAUGAGAUAACAUUUCAUGCCAUUCAGAAUGGUGAUUAUUAAAAAAAUCAAGAAACAACAGAUGCUGGUGAAGCUGUGGAGAAAUAGGAACACUUUUACAUUGUUGUUGGGAAUGUAAAUUAGUUCAAUCAUUGUGGAAGACAGUGUGGUGAUUCCUCAAGGAUCUAGAACCAGAAAUACUAUUUGACCUGGCAAUCCCAUUACUGGGUACAUAUCCAAAAGAAUACAAAUCAUUCUACUAUAAAGACACAUGCACACAUAUGUUUAUUGCAGUACUAUUUUACAAUAACAAAGACACGAAACCAACCCAAAUGCCCAUCAACGAUAGGCUGGAUAAAGAAAACAUGGUACACAUAUACUAUGGAAUGCUGUGUAGCCAGAAAAAGGAAUGAGAUCAUGUCCUUUGCAGGGACAUAGAUGAAGCUGGAAGCCAUCAUCCUCAGCAAACUAACCCAGGAACAGAAAACCAAGUAGCAUAUGUUCUCACUCAUAAGUGGGAGUUGACCAAUGAGAAGAUUAUGUCAAUACAUGAACACAGCGGGGGAAACAACACACACUAGGGCCAGUUGGAGGUCAGGGGGUGAGGGAAGAGAAAGCAUUAGGAUAAAGAGCUAAUGCAUGUGAGGCUUAAAACCUAGAUGACGCAUUGACAGGUACAGCAAACCACCAUGGCACACGUUUACCUAUGUAGCAAACCUGCAGGUUCUACACUUGUAUCCCGGAAUUUAAGAUAAAAAUUUUUUUAAAAGUUGCAUUGUCAUUUUUGCCACAUUGUAUUAAUCAAAGCAAGCUACAAAGCUAGCCCAGAUUAAAAAGAAUGGGGAGAGAACUCGAAGACAGAUAAGAUGAAUGGCAAAGUCACAUUGAAGUAUAGCAGCGUCCACUGGAAUAGGAAAACUAAGGGAAAUUUUAAAAGUCUAACAUGAGCUUAUAAGGAAUUUGAAUUUUAUCUUUUAGUGAUUGAGGCAUCUCUAAAAGAUAUUAAACAGGGGAGUUAUAUGGUUAAGGUUUUAUUUUAGAAAGGUAACUAAGAAGGUAGUAUGGAAGAUAAACUGAAGAGAGAAAAGAUUUAAGAUAGGCAAAAUGUAUUUAAAAGACUAAUAAAAUAGUCUAGGGAUAGAGUUAGGGAUGACAGAGGCUUGAACAAAGAUUGAGGAGAUAGCUUACAGAUUUUUCAAUCUGAGUCAGUGUCUAGUAGGAUUCAAAAUUAUAUGUAACAUGAUAACUCACUAUAGUAUGACUGUGUAAUAAAUUAUAUAUCACAUUUUGGUAAAACAUAUGUGAUGUAAAUAUUUAUCAAGUGAAAGUAAGGGAAUCAUAAUCAUAAGCAUAGGAUUUGGCUGGAAUAGUGAUUGCUGUGGGCAAAAGUUGUAAGCUGCUUUAAAGUUCUGCAUUUUCUAUAUUGUUGUGGGCUUAUACUUACUAAUUAUAUUGCCAAAAGAAACAGAGAGAGAAAGAAGAAAGAUAAUUGUAGACCAAAGAUAAGCACAUCGCAUGCAGCAAGGCCUGCUCUGAAUCUCUGAUCCGUGAAUAGAAAUGAUAAUAGCAGUCUGUUGUGUGAAUAUCUGGUGAGAUGGAUUUAUAUGCAGCAUUUCACAAACUUGCUUGCUUUUGAAUCAUUUGUCCACAGAUACACUUUGGGUAGUAGUGAAGAACUUAACAUUUCAUCGACAGAUAAGGACAGUUGACUUAGGAGACAUAAAACAAACAUCCUUUCUGAUUCCAUACUUAAUUUUUUCUUCUUUUGUUUGUUUUAGUGGCUUUAAAAUAAUUUUAUCAAUUAGUAAGAAUUCAAUAACAUUUAAUAAGGACUGAAUACUUUACAAGGUCCUUAAUACUAUUAAUAAAAAAAUCAUAAAAGCUGUAUUUUAGCAUCUGAAGAUGAGCUGCCCAAUAUGGUGGCUACAAGACACCCGGGGACAUUAAACACUUGAAAUGCAGAUAAUGUGACCAAGAAAUUAAAUUUUAAUUUUAAUUAUUUUCCACUAAGUAUAACUUUAUUGCUUUGGUCAAAGCAUAUUUCACUUAAAUUAUUGUAAACUUAGCAUCCAAUUUGUGAUGUGCGAUAAGCAUGGAAAACUCACUGUAUUUGAAGACAAUAUGAAAAAAUGGUACAAUAGCUCAUUAACAAUUUUUAUAUUUAUUGCAUGCAGAAGUGAUCAUUUUUGAUACAUUAGAACAAAUAAAAUAUUAAAGCCAAUAUCAUUUGUUCUUAACUAUUUUUAAUGUGGCUGCCAAAAAAUGUAAAGUUUCAUAUUUGGCUCGCAUUUAUUUCU